GUGUAACUGUGGACUCUUCUCUUGUUUACAGACAUCAGGCAAUGCCUUACCAGAACAAUUAUUGCCUCAUACCACUUCAAAUACUGAUGCGGGUGGAAAAAGACAAAUGUCUGAAGCAUGCUCCCCUCCCUGGAAUGUGUUAGGAAAAGACCAGUCCCUCAGUCAAUAAAAAGGAUUAAAUCUCUUUUCUACAAAAUGAACUCCUUGGAGGAUCUUCAUAGCUCAGGCAAAUACUAUUUCAAGAGAUUCUUCAGCAAACAGGCCAGAAGGUUCUCUGUGAGUAUACUAAAAAAUAAAUACACGAUGAGGAUUCAGGCAUUUGUGCUAAUGAAACGGAACUGGAAACCAAAGUUUCUGCAAAUACAAGGACUGAGAUAUAUCUGUUACAAAUGGAUAUGAAGUCAGAAAGUUUGAAUAUAAAGUAAGUACAUUUUGGACCAAGAACAGAAACCCAGGCUUUGCAUCUCCAUAGGAAAUGGACUAACCAUUGGACUAGACAGUUAUUACCAUUAGCCUUGGUGGUCUUUGCAUGGUUUUUGAAGAAUUUUACAAAGUGGAACAAAGCUACCACAGGAGCAAGGAAGGAAACAGACUGUUUCCCCUGCCUCUCUCUCCUUGAACAAAGUAAGAAGGUAUCUUUAUCUUUCUGAUUAGAAGGAAAUGGCUACAAACGAAGGUGAUGUCACUUUGAAUAUCGUCAGCAAUGGACCCUUUAGAUGCACCGAGGUAUCCUAGCCCAGAAGUCUCAAGAUGAUUAGUCAUGAAGACAAGAGAAAGCAGAGGCAAACAGUAGUACGCAACUGACGAAAAAAUGCCAUCUUAUCAUUUGAAUUUAUGCUGGUACAACUCUGCCGCUGACCAUCAACAAGAUAAGGAAGUUUAUCUCAGUUUUCUUCUUCCUCGUUGAGUGCUGUAACAUUACAACAUUUUAAAAGGGAGGAUAAAUGUGCAAAUGCCAUUGGAAGCUUGUGACCAUCUUCACUCUGUUGGAAGAUGAUCUCUAUGAAUGUCUGCCACGUAAAGUUCCACAGUGAAGCUCAGCAGGAGAUGCCAGUGGGAUACAGAGAGGAGAUAAGCAUCACCAGUCAAGCAGCAUGAGGGAGAGGCAGUUCUCAGCAAGUACAGCAAAUCAACUUACAGAGAAAAACUAUAGAAACAUCUGAAAUUUGAAGCAUUCUCAUCCACAGCUGUAUCAAACCUUAACUAUUCAACCCUAUCUCCCUCUGCCAGUGAAGAUAGUCAGUAACUAUUUCAUAGGAGGAAGGAAAGGAGGUGAGAAUACUUGGAAGUCUCUGAUUCUUGGCAUCUGUCACAGACCUUACUUGGUCUAGAUUAUGUCUUCACCGCAGCUAAAUUCUGUAUUAACAGGUCCACAGAUUUAAGCAUGACAAGUGAAAGUAUCAAUCACUAAGCAAUACCCCUAAGGAACCUGAAGGUGAGUGUAGGCUACAGCCCCAGCCUCAGAUACCCAGGUGGAUUUUCUACUCUGUCACAGUGUCCUAUGAAGUUCAGGCUUUGUAAUUAGUGGUAAUGAAUUAGCUUUAGCUGCCUUUAAACUACGACAUCAGCAUUAUUGAACCUUUGAGCUGUUAGUCCACUGAAAAUAUCUGGAUAAAAUUCUCUAAUAUUUAGUUAAUUAUUCCUGUAAACAUAAUUCCUGAUGAUUAUUAUAUUUCCAAAAACUGGAAAAAAAAUGCCAAAGAUAACUGCUAUUUCAUUGAAAAGUCCUGAUAUAGUUGGGUUAAUGGGUCUUACUUACAUGGUUGUUUAUUAAGGAUCUAUCUCUUAUGUGUGAAGGCAGAAAAACAAAAUGCUCUAAGAUACCUCUGCAUUUUUCUUUCCUCUCCUCAAAUUACAAACAUCUAAAUAUUACUUAAAUUUCAAUCCAGAGAGAAAGAAGAAGGAAAGUGUAGGCAAUACAUACUGCCAAAGAGAAGAUGUAAAUGAAGAACACCGUAUGAAAAUACCUAAAUAAUUUAGAACAGACACUGUGAAGACAGAGAAAAUGCUAGAAGCAAAAUGCCUUUUAUUGUAACAAAUUCCUCAGCACUUUUCAGAAAGUAUGUGGAUUAAAGAAAAAACAGUGCAGACAGGGUAAGAAGUGGCAGCAAUACAGGAAAGGCAAAUGGGAUAGGAAUGGCAAAGGCAGAAGCAGCAGGAGCAUCUCUGAUGUGACAUGCUCAGCCAUGGCAUCUUGAGUUGAGGCUUUGCUGCUGGCUCCUUCCUCCUGUUCUCAUCUCACUUAUUCCUGUGCUGUGCACAGUCCCCAUUACAGCCUCGGUGAGGAAAAC
This is a long non-coding RNA of Cygnus atratus (black swan), 2291 nucleotides long. RefSeq lists it as uncharacterized. The record is from RefSeq and is a predicted model, not a curated record. NCBI's taxonomy places the organism in Eukaryota, Metazoa, Chordata, Aves, Anseriformes, Anatidae. The transcript has 4 exons.